GUAGUCCACGCCCUAAACGAUGCACGCUAGACGGAUGCGGCUCUGACGUCGUAUCGGUCGUAGAGAAAUUGAUAAGCGUGCCGCCUGGGAAGUACGGUCGCAAGGCUAAAACUCAAAGAAAUUGACGGGGGCUCACACAAGCGGUGGAGCAUGUUGCUUAAUUCGAAGCAACGCGAAGAACCUUACCUGGGUUUGACAUGCACGGAUUAACCGGUGGAAACAUCGGCGAGGCCCGCAAGGGUACAACGUGCACAGGUGCUGCAUGGCUGUCGUCAGCUCGUGCUGUGAAGUGUCGGGUUAAGUCCUCUAACGAGCGCAACCCCUGUCGCUAGUUGCCAGCGAGUCAUGUCGGGGACUCUAGCGAGACUGCCGUUGUAAGACGGA
This 384-nucleotide ribosomal RNA is filed under the name uncultured bacterium. RNAcentral describes it as "bacterial SSU rRNA". It matches the Rfam family "Bacterial small subunit ribosomal RNA", at positions 790 to 1167 of the family's 1533-position model. The record is from RNAcentral.